Non-coding RNA from Anas platyrhynchos (mallard), 3256 nucleotides. The record is from RefSeq and is a predicted model, not a curated record. NCBI's taxonomy places the organism in Eukaryota, Metazoa, Chordata, Aves, Anseriformes, Anatidae.
UGUGGCCUCUUUGAGCAGAACCCAGCAGCUGCCCCAUAUCAGAGAAGAGUCAGCUCCAACUGGCUCUAAAAGGGACCUGCCGCUGGCCAGGGCCAAACCAGUGAGUGACAUUGGUUGUGCCUCUGUGAAAGCAGAUUUAAGAAAGGGGGGAAAAAAUAACUGUGCCACAGCAACUCAGAGAGCUGAGAAAUCCAUCCUCUGUUCGUUGAUGCCUCCCCAUAGACAAAUCCAAAGCUAGAAAUCAGGAGAGAAAAGAAAAAAAAAAAAAAAGCCGGAACUGGGAACUCCUGAAACUAAUCUUAUGGACUGUGUUUUCAGGAGUUGAAGCAUUAGACCACAGAGAAUUCCAAGAUGGUGUAAACUCUGAAGAAUAAAUCAUUAGGUGUCAGAAAACCACUAUGCACUUUCAUAGGGAAGGCUGUGUAUGCCCUUAGGAAGGACAUUUCCCUUUUGGGUCUCUCUCCUGUGCUGGAUCUUCUGUUCAUUUUGUUUCAGAAUAACCUUGCAGUUGCAACUACUGAUACCUUUUAUUCCCUUUCAUCGAUUCCUUGACUCCAGAGGUGGACUUACAGAAAUUAUAUGAACCCCAAAUAGUUAAUAUUGAGAAGACUGCCAACAUUUUGGGAGAUGAAAACAACCUAUGCUCAUUCCUUGCAAGCAUCAUGAGGACAACAAAAAGGUCAGUGACUUCAUUGCUAAACAGAGCAUGCAAGGAAGGAGUGUGGCAUGCACAUGAAGAGCGGCUGGAUGCUUCACAAUGAGAGACACCUUCAAUAUAAAUCAUGGGAAGCUUGCUUCAGAUCUGCCACAUUUAUUUUUCUGAUUCAAUCUCUGCUUCAACCUCUGUGCCAUCUUUAGGCUUGCCAGCACCUCUCCCCCAGCUACCUGUCAGCCCAAAUCUUCCACAACCUCAGGAUUCUCAUCACUGCAGCUGGCCCUGCAGCAUCUUGCAGAGGGGAGACUGUGUUUUGCAAUGAACUGUCUUUUGAGUAGGACUUCUGAGAUGAUGAAACCUCACUCUGCCUCACAUAGCUUGCUAGGCAGUUGGGGGUUUGCUGGGGUGAGCAGUGGCAACAGGGCAUAUCUCUCCUAGAAUUAAAUGUAAAUUAGACUAUAUUAAUGAGUGCAUUUUAAAGCACCACAGGGACCAGGAAUAAUGUGCUUCUUACUGGCAUUAGCGUAUUUAUAGAGAAAGCUGUCCAGCAAAUAGGUGUUUUAGUUUCCUCAAUUGUCUGUAGGGUUAAAAUGCCUCUACUAAUACUUUCCAACAACAUUCCUUUAAAUACUAAUCAACAUAAAGCCUGAAGCUAUUGACCCCUGUUGCAACACAACACAUUAACAUGCAAGGGAAACCUUCUCUGCCCAUUUCUGAAAGGGGCAAAGCAGCUCUGGGCCCAGCAUUUGGCCCCACAGAAUCAUUAUUCCAUUUGCAAGCUUAACAAAGUGCUGCAUUAAAUUUCAGGAACUAUUGAUUGCUCUCUAGGUGGUUAUGCAAAAUCAAUUGUGGGGUUUUGUUUUAGGGAAGAGAGUAUGAGAGGAGAAAGGUUUUGACAGGAAACAUGCCAGGAUUUAAAAGAAGAAACAUGUGGUUGAGAGGCAUAGGAAUGUCAUGGGGUCACAACUUCAAAGAUCGAAGCUCCAUCUAGACAAGUCCUAUCUGUUGCUCAAAUAUAUCAUCACAGGUUUCUUGAGGCUAUCUUGAAGGGUCUCCUGGCUUUGUUCACCCCCUUCUCAUUGCACAGAGAGCUCUCUAUGGUUUGCAGUUUACUAUAAUUUAACAAAUAAAUUAAGUCACUAGGGAGAAGGAGAAAGAGGAUAUCUGUGCAUAUACCUUGAGGUUACAUUGAAUCUUUUAUCAUACUUAAAAGGUUGACUACAGAAGGGAAUAAAUAGGAAGAUUAUUUGGAUGAGGAUUUCAGUCUUUCCAGUUACCAUGUGCGUAAGCACAACAACGUUUUGUAUGCUGAAGUAAUUUGUUGAAAAUGGGCUACACUGAUUCACUUCUCACAGAAUCAAAUCUAUAAAGCAUCUGCUUUACCUACAACAUUUACCACCAGUGGGUAAAACAAAAUGAAGCUCGUGGAUACACUUCAGCCCAUACUGAUGGAGAAUAAAAACCAUUUAGGACUGAAAUAACAGUUAAUGUUGAUUACCUCCCAAUGACCAUAACAAAACUUAUAAAAAUUAUACACCUUGGAAGAGUCAUCAAAGAUAUUUAGGAAAAGGCACUGUAAAUUAAGGAUGUACCUUCUCACCUAUUGCUGGACUGUUCAGAGAGCUUGUAGUAUCACUUCCAUUCCAUGCUUAGCCAUAUGUAUAAAAAGGAGUUUGUUUUUCCAGGCUGUCAGGGAAAAGCCUCUCAGAGAGCACUAAAUUCAUACACAGUCACUGUCAGUGUCUGGAGCUGGUAUGGGGUAAUAGAGGCAUGACUCAAGAAUUUAAGGAAUGGAACUGAAGGCUUUAUAUAACUGAAGCACAAGAAAAUGUGAAAGAAAAAAGAGCAAUUACCAAUAUGGCUCAUGUCUUAGAGCCUCUAAAACACAAUUGGGAGAAUUAUUUAUAACUCAUAAACAGCUUUUUUUUUUUUUUUCCCUCAAAAACGUGUACAAUUUUGCAGAGGAAACAAUAAUUAGUAAAUUGUUCAUUAAUAGCUCAUUGCAAUAUUAGAAAUUUGAACAGUAUUGGAUUACUACAGGAAAACCAUUGGGAUUACUAUGGGAACCCCACCGAAGUCAAAAUUCAAUCAAAGGAAUUGCUAUGUGAGUGAAUUCUGUAACAAAUGAACAAUUAAUGCAUUUCAUGAUUUUGUGCUAUAUACCUUCUAAGCAGUUGCUUUCCAACAUGCACUUCUUUGGGCUUGCUAUUCCAUUCACAGUGUUGGUUUUUUUUAUAUAUGUUCAAGUGGAAUGUUGACCUACUGUAAUUUUCCACUGAGAAUAUACAUGCUAAAUUAAUAAAUAUCAAUAAUUAAUUAACAUCAAUAUUGAUAAAUGUUAAUAAAGUAAUUAUAAAGCUGGUAAACAAGAACGAAAAGCAUAUUCAAAGUCAAUUAAUUCAAAGUGGAGAAAUUAUUAGGAAAGAUUAGGAGACCAGUGAUGCCAGUAUGUCACUUCGAGAUGUCUUUAUUUUCCUUUUUACCUCUUCAUUUCCAUUGGCACAGAGCACACCACUGCUAGUAGACUGCCUGGUGUGAAAGCAGUUUUAUCCCUGCAAUGUUCCCUGGUCUCAGCUGACAUCAGAGUAAUUAGUGAUAUAA